RNAcentral lists this ribosomal RNA (320 nucleotides) under uncultured eukaryote. RNAcentral's name for it is "partial 18S ribosomal RNA". It matches the Rfam family "Eukaryotic small subunit ribosomal RNA", at positions 1470 to 1796 of the family's 1831-position model. The record is from RNAcentral.
CCCCUAGAUGUUCUGGGCCGCACGCGCGCUACACUGAACAGUUCAACAAGUCUUAACCUUGGCCGAUAGGUCUGGGUAAUCUUUGAACGCUGUUCGUGAUUGGGAUAGACCUUUGCAAUUAUGGGUCUUCAACGAGGAAUUCCUAGUAAACGCAAGUCAUCAGCUUGCAUUGAUUACGUCCCUGCCCUUUGUACACACCGCCCGUCGCACCUACCGAUUGAAUGGUCCGGUGAAAUCUCGGGACGGGGGCUUGGUCGCUUGCGUCCGACUGCUGAAACUUGAUUAAACCAUAUCAUUUAGAGGAAGGUGAAGUCGUAACA